AUACGGAGGGUGCAAGCGUUGUUCGGAAUCACUGGGCGUAAAGGGCGCGCAGGCGGUUUGGUAAGUCAGAUGUGAAAGCCCACGGCUCAACCGUGGAAGUGCAUUUGAAACUGCCAGACUUGAGUACCAGAGGGGAAAGUGGAAUUCCCGGUGUAGAGGUGAAAUUCGUAGAUAUCGGGAGGAAUACCGGUGGCGAAGGCGACUUUCUGGCUGGAUACUGACGCUGAGGCGCGAAAGCGUGGGGAGCAAACAGGAUUAGAAACCCGGGUAGUCC
This 274-nucleotide ribosomal RNA is filed under the name uncultured bacterium. RNAcentral describes it as "partial 16S ribosomal RNA". It matches the Rfam family "Bacterial small subunit ribosomal RNA", at positions 523 to 796 of the family's 1533-position model. The record is from RNAcentral.